GCAAGUGCCUGUAUGAGUGUUUAUACAACGAAACUGCGAAUGGCUCGGUAAAACAGCAAUAAUUUAUUCGGGGGUAACUGCUACUUGGAUAACCGUAGUAAAGCUAGAGCUAAUACGUGCUACAACGGCGAGAUAUCGUCUCGUGGUACUAAGUAUUAGGUACAAGCCAAUUUUAUUGGUGAUUCAUACUUAUCUUCUGAUCGCACUAUGUGCGACGCCCCGAAUAAAUUUCUGACCUAUCAACUAUGAUGGUAAGGUAGUGUCUUACCAUGGUUGUGACGGGUAACGGACCGUGGGUGCGGGAUUCCGGAGAGGGAGCCUGAGAAACGGCUACCACAUCCAAGGAAGGCAGCAGGCGCGCAACUUACCCAAUCCGAACUUCGGGAGGUAGUGACAAAAAAUAUCAAUAGGGGGACCAAUGGUCUUUCUAAUUGGAAUGAAAACAAUCUAAACACCUUAUUGAGGAACCAGCAGAGGGCAAGUCUGGUGCCAGCAGCCGCGGUAAUUCCAGCUCUGUAAGCGUAUACCAAAGUUGUUGCAGUUAAAACGCUCGUAGUCGAAUUUUGGCGUGAGUUUCUGAGACUCCUACUGGAUGUUGACGUAUCUCCGCCUUUGUGGAGGGGGGUGUGGUGGUGCUUCAUUGUAUCGCUGCAUUUCCGCCACUGUUUACUGUGAAAAAAUUAGAGUGUUCAAAGCGAGCGUUUGCCAUGAAUACAUUAGCAUGGAAUAAUAGAAUAGGACCUGGUUCUGUUUUAUUGGUUUGUCUGUAUCAGGUAAUGAUUAACAGGGACGGUCGGGGGCAUUUGUAUUCCGGGGUUAGAGGUGAAAUUCUUGGAUCCUCGGAAGACAAACAGCUGCGAAAGCGUCUGCCAAGGACGUUUUCAUUGAUCAAGAACGAAAGUAAGGGGAUCGAAGACGAUCAGAUACCGUCGUAGUCUUUACUAUAAACGAUGAGGACUGGGGAUGAGACGUGGCCUAUUGGUACGUUUCGCACCCUCCGGGAAACCAAAGUAUUUGCUUUCUGGGGGGAGUAUGGUCG
Molecule: ribosomal RNA, 1039 nt
Filed under: Chondria tumulosa
Lineage: Eukaryota; Rhodophyta; Florideophyceae; Ceramiales; Rhodomelaceae
Description: SSU rRNA
Rfam family: Eukaryotic small subunit ribosomal RNA
Source: RNAcentral